Molecule: ribosomal RNA, 482 nt
Filed under: uncultured bacterium
Lineage: Bacteria
Description: partial 16S ribosomal RNA
Rfam family: Bacterial small subunit ribosomal RNA
Source: RNAcentral
AUUGAACGCUGGCGGCAUGCCUUACACAUGCAAGUCGAACGGUAACGGGCCUUCGGGUGCCGACGAGUGGCGAACGGGUGAGUAAUACAUCGGAACGUGCCCGAUCGUGGGGGAUAACGAGGCGAAAGCUUUGCUAAUACCGCAUACGAUCUACGGAUGAAAGCAGGGGACCGCAGGGCCUUGCGCGGACGGAGCGGCCGAUGGCAGAUUAGGUAGUUGGUGGGAUAAAAGCUUACCAAGCCGACGAUCUGUAGCUGGUCUGAGAGGAUGAACAGCCACACUGGGACUGAGACACGGCCCAGACUCCUACGGGAGGAAGCAGUGGGGAAUUUUGGACAAUGGGCGCAAGCCUGAUCCAGCCAUGCCGCGUGCAGGAUGAAGGCCUUCGGGUUGUAAACUGCUUUUGUACGGAACGAAAAGCCUUCUUUUAAUACAGGAGGGUCAUGACGGUACCGUAAGAAUAAGCACCGGCUAACUACGUG